CUGGAGACCACGGAGCCUCAGCUACCGCCUCAGCCCUACCCGACAGGGGCCCGCCCAGGGGCCACUCCCCAAGGGAGGCAGCCAGUCACUCGCCCGCCCUUCCGGGCCCGCUCCAGAGGGGACGGUCUCCCGCCCGCCCUCACACAGCUCCUCAGGCCAGGCCCCCAGGGCUUCGUCCACCUCUCACCUUUGACGACGCGAAAGUGAGCCCCAGUGACUCAUGAAACUUUAUAGGGAUGGAUCUUCAUGGGGAAGAAAGCAGUGGGACAAGAACUGAUUGUUCAAUCAGUAAUUAUUGGAAGGAACAUCUGCUAGAACAAACAGAAACUCCUCUCCCGCUGUCCUCCUGUGCCCAGAUUGCGGGGCAUAACUGUUUUGCCUCCAAUCAUCAUCGGGGGGCAUAUCUACUCUUCGAGGACCAGAGGCUCGAGACCCAGGAAUAGGACCCAAAUUCCAAGCUGACCUCAGGGGUUCAUGAAGACUGCUUGAUGGUGGAGACACAGGGUGAACAAGGGGAGGGUGGGAGGAUGAAUGGAAAAUAUCGCCCCAGGACUGAGCAUGAGGAACCUGAAGGCCCUGGCGCCUUUCUGGUAGUGUGGCAGUGUGUGUCAGUUGAGGCUUGCACCCUGGAGUACUCAGGAAUCUGGCCCCAAUAUGCUGGUUGGUCUCUGACCAUGGUCCCCAAGAGGCAUCUAUUCUGGAACGAUGGGGGAGACUCUGGUAGUUCAGAGUCCUUCCUGUGUACUUGGCCCCCUGGCAAGUUUCACCCCUGUCACACAUAGCCAGAAACUGCUGGACACUCCUCGAAGUUCCUGGGAAGAGAAAAAGAAACCCAAAUAUUAAGCAUCUUCAGUAAACCACUCUCCUUUCCAGAGGACCAUUCCUGACUGUACCUCCCAACUCCCCACACUUCCAAGAGCAUACACCUCAGGGGAAGAAGCCUGGCUUUGCUUUUAAUUUCAUUUUUAAGAAUUCUUAAUAUACAUCAAAAUCAAGUCUCUUAACCUCCUACCUGGGCAAAUGCUGCCAUACUUCCACCUCACUCCACUAUAAUUCUUCCACCACUCCCUCCCAAUGAAUGGCUCUACUCAGUGUAACAACUCUACUCUUAGAGCCACCACUCCAAAACAUCACUCUGCUUUUCUUAAUUUGGUACCUUCCCUCCAGUUAAUCUGUUCCUGCUUACAUUCUUGCUCAGUCUUUGAGAUCUCUGUUUUUAUUCACACUACUCCUACCACAUAUACAGUGUGGAAUGCCUUUUCUACACAUUAAUUCCCCUUUACUUAAAAAAAACACACACACACACAAUUUUAAAAAUCACUUCUAAAAAAUACUUUCCAUUCAUUAUUUUAUAGCCCAUCAACAUCUGCAAUAUAUUCUUAUAUGCAUGUACAUUCUGAUAUUUCUGCUCUGAACCUUUUCAGAACAAAGAGAGCUGCCUUCUUUCUCCCCUAUAUUCACUGUAGCAUUAAGUGCAGAACAGGCUGCACUAAAAUGCUGCCUGAUGGAUCAGAUCCCCCUAACAACCGUCAAAGGGGGCUGGCUACCUGGCUGUUCCACUGAGUGAUAGGAAGUUCAUCUACUCAGAAUGCCUGCUUAUCCAAACCUCCCUAAAAUUUGGACACAUAUCAGCAAUACUACUCUUCUCUUCUAGAACCACAACCACCACCCCCCACACCCCAAGGCAUUUAUAUCUGUAAGCCAGGGUUUUUCCGAUCUCAACACUACUGAUAUUUUGAACUGAUACUAUCUGUUCGAGGGGCGGAGGUGGGGGUUGGGGGGAGUAGGUAAACUGCCCUGUGCUUUGUAGGAUGUUUAGCAGUGUCCUGGCUUCCACUUACUAGAUGCCAGUAGUAUCUCCGAUUUCCCAUUGAGAAUCACUACCUUAAGCUAUAGAGUCAGCCUCUUCAUUAGGAAGAAAAGUAGCAAACCUUGCUAUAGAGGGUCAAAGAAGGCCAAAAGGAUGCUACCCACCUCCCCUAGAAUUGUCUGAGUCUGUAUAUAUAAUACAGGUAUUCCAUACACAGGGUCUUUCCAGGUUUCCCAUUCAUUCCUUGUCCUAGACUAUACCUCAGCUGAGACUCGAGGGAUAGUAGGAAAGAAACUAGCUGAUAGAUGACACUUUUGGUUUUGGGAGGAUCCUAAAGACUGGGUAUUAACUCCCCUUCAUCACUUAUAAGCUUAUCAUGAUAGAUUCAGUUUAGUUUCUAAGUAUCUAGACCAAAGCCCCCAAAAUCAAAGAAUCUUGUUGCCCAAAUAAUGAUUCAAUUGCAAUUCACCUAGACCAAUGAUCGAUCUUAAAGUGGUAAUUCAUAUCCCUUUACCACCCACCUUGGGACUCCCACACCCCCCAAUAGGUAUAUGAUUUGAUCUUUCUAGGUCAUCCUUGGAAAGUACCACAUUCUGGCACAUAAUAUUAGAUUUGGGGAGAGUUACCUGGGGGUCUAUGGGGCUCCCCUGUCAUGCUGGGCAUCAAGACAUCUGGGGACAGGAACUGUGGUUGGGGUGGGUAGAGUUGGGGACCAAGGAGAAAUACAGGAGGGUCACGGAUGACAGGGAGGGAAGAGAAGCUGGAACAACGGUGCCCGGUUUCCAAAGGCUUUUUCCUCGCAUUUGAUGAAUCCUUAUAAUGAGACAAGACAAAAAAACAUAAAGAUGAGGAUUAACACACAGCAGGAUAUGAUUGGGUAAACACAAUGAGGCAAGCAGGGGGAAAUGGAGGGGAUUAGAGUACCAAUAUGCCUAGUUCUGGAGAGGGACUCAGUUGACUCACUCUUCCCAUCCUCCUCUAGGGACAUCUAGACCACUAUGACCUAGAGACACAGAACUGCAGAUCCUCUUCCUUUGACCUGUCUUUCUCAUAGCCUUCACGUUCCCACUCUUUAAUGAUGCUAACAGUAGAAAGAGACUGAGAUAGAAAUUUAAAAAUAGAGAAGAAAUAGGAAAGAGAAAAAAAUGAGAAAGCCCCAGAGCCUGAAAAAGAAAAUUCUAUAUGUUCUCUAAAUAUUGAGAACUAAAAAUGUAUCUCCCUAAAUGUACAAUCAAGAACUCUGCUACUUCACCUUCUCUCCUGUCACUGCUAUAUUCCAGUCUCCUCUUUUGCCAGUCAAGUUUGUAACCACUGAUGCUUGUGUCAAUGACUAUACUCCACUAGUCAUUCACAAAGUCUCAGAAAUAUCCCCUUUAACAUCUGAAACACUAAGAUCUCCAAAAUCAAACCAACAUCCUUCCAUUCCAAACUCCACCUCCUGGUACCACAUUUUCCUAAGUCACCUAGAUUCAAAAUGUUGACAUUGUCCUUAAUUUUGCACUUCUCAUCCACUAUUCCAUUAGUUGCCUUUGUCAAGAACACUCAUUUAUACCCUUAGGUUUUAUAUUUAAACUUAACUGGAUGUUUGGAGUGUCAU
Molecule: long non-coding RNA, 3407 nt
Organism: Suricata suricatta (meerkat)
Lineage: Eukaryota; Metazoa; Chordata; Mammalia; Carnivora; Herpestidae
Exons: 3
Source: RefSeq, a predicted model, not a curated record